CGGAGGAUGCCUAGGCGCUAGGAGCCGAAGAAGGACGUGGCGAACAACGAAACUGCCUCGGGGAGCUGUAAGCAAGCUUCGAUCCGGGGAUGUCCGAAUGGGGAAACCCAGCUGAUGUAAUAGUCAGUUACCCGUAUCUGAAUACAUAGGAUAUGAGGAGGCAUACCCAGGGAACUGAAACAUCUAAGUACCUGGAGGAAGAGAAAACAAGAGUGAUUCCGUCAGUAGCGGCGAGCGAACGCGGAACAGCCUAAACCAGAGAGCUUGCUCUCUGGGGUUGUGGGACGUCUCACAUGGAGUUACAAAGGAACAUAUUAGACGAAGAGGUCUGGAAAGGCCCGCGAUACGAGGUAAAAGCCCUGUAGUCGAAAGUAUAUUCCCUCCGAGACGGAUCCCGAGUAGUGCGGGGCACGUGAAACCCCGUAUGAAUCCAGCAGGACCAUCUGCUAAGGCUAAAUACUCCCUAGCGACCGAUAGUGAAGCAGUACCGUGAGGGAAAGGUGAAAAGCACCCCGGAAGGGGAGUGAAAUAGAACCUGAAACCGUGUGCUUACAAGAAGUCAGAGCCCGAUCUAUGGGUGAUGGCGUGCCUUUUGUAGAAUGAACCGGCGAGUUACGUUCCCAUGCAAGGUUAAGGCGAGAAGCCGUAGCCGCAGCGAAAGCGAGUCUGAAUAGGGCGAUAUUAGUAUGUGGACGUAGACCCGAAACCGUGUGAUCUACCCCUGUCCAGGGUGAAGGUGCGGUAACACGCACUGGAGGCCCGAACCCACGUAUGUUGAAAAAUGCGGGGAUGAGGUGGGGGUAGCGGAGAAAUUCCAAUCGAACUCGGAGAUAGCUGGUUCUCCCCGAAAUAGCUUUAGGGCUAGCCUCGGAAUUGAGAGUCGUGGAGGUAGAGCACUGAUUGGGUGCGGGGCCCGCAAGGGUUACCAAGCUCAGUCAAACUCCGAAUGCCAUAGACUUAUAUCCGGGAGUCAGACAGUGAGUGCUAAGAUCCAUUGUCAAAAGGGAAACAGCCCAGACCAUCAGCUAAGGUCCCCAAGUGUGUGUUAAGUGGGAAAGGAUGUGGAGUUGCACAGACAACCAGGAUGUUGGCUUAGAAGCAGCCACCAUUUAAAGAGUGCGUAAUAGCUCACUGGUCGAGUGACUCUGCGCCGAAAAUGUAACGGGGCUAAACACACCACCGAAGCUAUGGCUUGA
Molecule: ribosomal RNA, 1196 nt
Filed under: Paenibacillus sp. JCM 10914
Lineage: Bacteria; Bacillati; Bacillota; Bacilli; Caryophanales; Paenibacillaceae
Description: LSU rRNA
Rfam family: Bacterial large subunit ribosomal RNA
Source: RNAcentral